This is a non-coding RNA of Acanthosepion pharaonis, 111 nucleotides long. Lineage: Eukaryota; Metazoa; Mollusca; Cephalopoda; Sepiida; Sepiidae. The record is from the annotation of a GenBank genome assembly.
ACGGACACAUCACGUUGAAACUCCGGUUCACGUACGAUAAUGAAAGUUAAGCAAUGCCGAGCUUGGGCAGUACCUAGAUGUGUGACUGUUUGGAAAUACCAGGUGCUGUAA